Molecule: ribosomal RNA, 215 nt
Filed under: Halorubrum distributum
Lineage: Archaea; Methanobacteriati; Methanobacteriota; Halobacteria; Halobacteriales; Haloferacaceae
Description: partial 16S ribosomal RNA
Rfam family: Archaeal small subunit ribosomal RNA
Source: RNAcentral
UGGGCUGCAACUCGCCCACAUGAAGCUGGAUUCGGUAGUAAUCGCGUGUCACAAGCGCGCGGUGAAUACGUCCCUGCUCCUUGCACACACCGCCCGUCAAAGCACCCGAGUGAGGUCCGGAUGAGGCUCGUUACACGAGUCGAAUCUGGGCUUCGCAAGGGGGCUUAAGUCGUAACAAGGUAGCCGUAGGGGAAUCUGCGGCUGGAUCACCUCCA